This 447-nucleotide ribosomal RNA is filed under the name uncultured organism. RNAcentral describes it as "partial 16S ribosomal RNA". It matches the Rfam family "Bacterial small subunit ribosomal RNA", at positions 332 to 796 of the family's 1533-position model. The record is from RNAcentral.
UACACUCCUACGGGAGGCAGCAGUGGGGAAUAUUGGACAAUGGGCGCAAGCCUGAUCCAGCCAUGCCGCGUGAGUGAUGAAGGCCCUAGGGUUGUAAAGCUCUUUCACCGGAGAAGAUAAUGACGGUAUCCGGAGAAGAAGCCCCGGCUAACUCCGUGCCAGCAGCCGCGGUAAUACGAAGGGGGCUAGCGUUGUUCGGAAUUACUGGGCGUAAAGCGCACGUAGGCGGAUCGAUCAGUCAGGGGUGAAAUCCCAGGGCUCAACCCUGGAACUGCCUUUGAUACUGUCGAUCUGGAGUAUGGAAGAGGUGAGUGGAAUUCCGAGUGUAGAGGUGAAAUUCGGAGAUAUUCGGAGGAACACCAGUGGCGAAGGCGGCUCACUGGUCCAUUACUGACGCUGAGGUGCGAAAGCGUGGGGAGCAAACAGGAUUAGAAACCCCUGUAGUCC